GAGGGUAUGGCUCAGUGGUAGAGUGCGUGCUUAGCAUGCGCAAGGUCCUGGGUUCAGUCCCCAGUCCCUCC
This 71-nucleotide transfer RNA is filed under the name Camelus bactrianus (Bactrian camel). It matches the Rfam family "tRNA". Rfam says of the family: Transfer RNA (tRNA) molecules are approximately 80 nucleotides in length. Their secondary structure includes four short double-helical elements and three loops (D, anti-codon, and T loops). Further hydrogen bonds mediate the characteristic L-shaped molecular structure. tRNAs have two regions of fundamental functional importance: the anti-codon, which is responsible for specific mRNA codon recognition, and the 3' end, to which the tRNAs corresponding amino acid is attached (by aminoacyl-tRNA synthetases). tRNAs cope with the degeneracy of the genetic code in two manners: having more than one tRNA (with a specific anti-codon) for a particular amino acid; and 'wobble' base-pairing, i.e. permitting non-standard base-pairing at the 3rd anti-codon position. RNAcentral also lists the same sequence under 2 other names. The record is from Rfam by way of RNAcentral. Lineage: Eukaryota; Metazoa; Chordata; Mammalia; Artiodactyla; Camelidae.